This 253-nucleotide ribosomal RNA is filed under the name uncultured bacterium. RNAcentral's name for it is "partial 16S ribosomal RNA". It matches the Rfam family "Bacterial small subunit ribosomal RNA", at positions 524 to 776 of the family's 1533-position model. The record is from RNAcentral.
UACGGAGGAUGCAAGCGUUAUCCGGAAUGAUUGGGCGUAAAGCGUCCGCAGGUGGCUGUGUAAGUCUGCUGUUAAAUAGUGAGGCUCAACCUCAUAAAGGCAGUGGAAACUACACGGCUAGAGUGCGUUCGGGGCAGAGGGAAUUCCUGGUGUAGCUGUGAAAUGCGUAGAGAUCAGGAAGAACACCGGUGGCGAAAGCGCUCUGCUAGGCCGCAACUGACACUGAGGGACGAAAGCUAGGGGAGCGAAUGGG